RNAcentral lists this ribosomal RNA (433 nucleotides) under uncultured bacterium. RNAcentral's name for it is "partial 16S ribosomal RNA". It matches the Rfam family "Bacterial small subunit ribosomal RNA", at positions 29 to 507 of the family's 1533-position model. The record is from RNAcentral.
AACGAACGCUGGCGGCAUGCCUAACACAUGCAAGUCGAACGAGACCUUCGGGUCUAGUGGCGCACGGGUGCGUAACGCGUGGGAACCUGCCCUUAGGUUCGGAAUAACUCCCCGAAAGGGGUGCUAAUACCGGAUAAUGUCUUCGGACCAAAGAUUUAUCGCCUUUGGAUGGGCCCGCGUUGGAUUAGCUAGUUGGUAGGUAAAAAGCCUACCAAGGCGACGAUCCAUAGCUGGUCUGAGAGGAUGAUCAGCCACACUGGGACUGAGACACGGCCCAGACUCCUACGGGAGGCAGCAGUGGGGAAUAUUGGACAAUGGGCGAAAGCCUGAUCCAGCAAUGCCGCGUGAGUGAUGAAGGCCUUAGGGUUGUAAAGCUCUUUUACCCGGGAUGAUAAUGACAGUACCGGGAGAAUAAGCUCCGGCUAACUCCGUG